GACGAACGCUGGCGGCGUGCUUAACACAUGCAAGUCGAACGGAAAGGCCCUGCUUGCUGGGUGCUUGAGUGGCGAACGGGUGAGUAACACGUGGGUGAUCUGCCCUUCACUUCGGGAUAAGCCUGGGAAACUGGGUCUAAUACUGGAUAGGAGUCAUUUUCAGUGUGUUGGUGGGGAAGAUUUUUCGGUGUCGGAGUUGCUCGCGGCCUAUCAGCUUGUUGGUGGGGUAAUGGCCUACCAAGGCGGCGACGGGUAGCCGGCCUGUGGGGGUGGACGGCCACAUUGGGACUGAGAUACGGCCCAGACUCCUACGGGAGGCAGCAGGGGGGAAUAUUGCACAAUGGGCGCAAGCCUGAUGCAGCUACGCCGCGUGGGGGAUGACGGCCUUCGGGUUGGAAACUCCUUUCGCUAGGGACGAAGCUUUUUGUGACGGUACCUAGAGAAGAAGCACCGGCUAACUACGUG
RNAcentral lists this ribosomal RNA (465 nucleotides) under uncultured bacterium. RNAcentral's name for it is "partial 16S ribosomal RNA". It matches the Rfam family "Bacterial small subunit ribosomal RNA", at positions 28 to 507 of the family's 1533-position model. The record is from RNAcentral.